This 147-nucleotide ribosomal RNA is filed under the name Enterobacter hormaechei. RNAcentral's name for it is "partial 23S ribosomal RNA". It matches the Rfam family "Bacterial large subunit ribosomal RNA", at positions 1 to 146 of the family's 2925-position model. Lineage: Bacteria; Pseudomonadati; Pseudomonadota; Gammaproteobacteria; Enterobacterales; Enterobacteriaceae. The record is from RNAcentral.
GUUGUUUGUUGUAGGGGCGCACGGUGGAUGCCUGGGCACAUUACGCCGAUGAAGGACGUGGAAGGCCGCGAUAGUCCUCGGGGAGUUGUCAAUCAAGCGUUGAUCCGAGGGUGUCCGAAUGGGGUAACCUUGCCGUAGUUGUGUGCG